AUUUUUAUGGAGAGUUUGAUCCUGGCUCAGGAUGAACGCUGGCGGCGUGCCUAAUACAUGCAAGUCGAGCGAAUGGACGAGGAGCUUGCUCCUCUG
RNAcentral lists this ribosomal RNA (96 nucleotides) under Staphylococcus epidermidis. RNAcentral's name for it is "partial 16S ribosomal RNA". It matches the Rfam family "Bacterial small subunit ribosomal RNA", at positions 1 to 90 of the family's 1533-position model. Lineage: Bacteria; Bacillati; Bacillota; Bacilli; Caryophanales; Staphylococcaceae. The record is from RNAcentral.